GACGAACGCUGGCGGCGUGCUUAACACAUGCAAGUCGAGCGGUAAGGCCUUUCGGGGUACACGAGCGGCGAACGGGUGAGUAACACGUGGGUGAUCUGCCCUGCACUCUGGGAUAAGCCUGGGAAACUGGGUCUAAUACUGGAUAUGACCUCAGCAUGCAUGUGCUGGGGUGGAAAGCUUUUGUGGUGCAGGAUGGGCCCGCGGCCUAUCAGCUUGUUGGUGGGGUAAUGGCCUACCAAGGCGACGACGGGUAGCCGACCUGAGAGGGUGACCGGCCACACUGGGACUGAGACACGGCCCAGACUCCUACGGGAGGCAGCAGUGGGGAAUAUUGCACAAUGGGCGGAAGCCUGAUGCAGCGACGCCGCGUGAGGGAUGAAGGCCUUCGGGUUGUAAACCUCUUUCAGCAGGGACGAAGCGUGAGUGACGGUACCUGCAGAAGAAGCACCGGCUAACUACGUGCCAGCCGCCGCCGUAACAC
Molecule: ribosomal RNA, 481 nt
Filed under: uncultured bacterium
Lineage: Bacteria
Description: bacterial SSU rRNA
Rfam family: Bacterial small subunit ribosomal RNA
Source: RNAcentral